This is a non-coding RNA of Photobacterium damselae subsp. piscicida DI21, 101 nucleotides long. The record is from Rfam. Lineage: Bacteria; Pseudomonadati; Pseudomonadota; Gammaproteobacteria; Vibrionales; Vibrionaceae.
CUGACAACGCGCUUUGCUUAGGGUUAGACAGAUCAAGCCACGACCAUGAGUUGCCAUAAAGUUGAUCGCAUCUGGAGUGAUUUUUUCUGCCGCAAUAAUAA